CAGUAGCCACGGUAAGACGAACCGUGCGAACGUUAUUCGGAAUCACUGGGCUUAAAGCGAGUGUAGGCGGGCCGCCACGUCGGUCGCUGAAAUCCCCCGGCUCAACCGGGGAACUGGCGGCGAUAUGAGCGGCCUGGAGGGGGGUAGGGGGGCCUGGAACUUCCGGUGGAGCGGUGAAAUGCGUUGAGAUCGGAAGGAACGCCCGUGGCGAAAGCGAGGCCCUGGACCCUCACUAACGCUCAUGCACGAAAGCGUGGGGAGCAAACAGGAUUAGAUACCCCUGUAGUCCCUGUCUCUUAUU
Molecule: ribosomal RNA, 301 nt
Filed under: uncultured bacterium
Lineage: Bacteria
Description: partial 16S ribosomal RNA
Rfam family: Bacterial small subunit ribosomal RNA
Source: RNAcentral